RNAcentral lists this ribosomal RNA (617 nucleotides) under uncultured archaeon. RNAcentral describes it as "bacterial SSU rRNA". It matches the Rfam family "Archaeal small subunit ribosomal RNA", at positions 1 to 620 of the family's 1478-position model. The record is from RNAcentral.
UUCCGGUUGAUCCUGGCGGAGGCCAUUGCUAUUGGGAUCCGAUUUAGCCAUGCUAGUUGUACGAGUUCAGACUCGUAGCGAAUAGCUCAGUAACACGUGGCCAAACUACCCUUCGGACCACGAUACCCUCGGGAAACUGAGGUUAAUAGUGUAUCCCACACUCAGACUGGAAUGUCGAGUGUGACAAACGCUCCGGCGCCGAAGGAUGUGGCUGCGGCCGAUUAGGUAGACGGUGGGGUAACGGCCCACCGUGCCAAUAAUCGGUACGGGUCAUGAGAGUGAGAACCCGGAGACGGAAUCUGAGACAAGAUUCCGGGCCCUACGGGGCGCAGCAGGCGCGAAACCUUUACACUGCACGCCAGUGCGAUAAGGGGAUCCCAAGUGCGCAGGCAUAGAGCCUGCGCUUUUGUCCACCCUAGGGAGGUGGACGAAUAAGGGCUGGGCAAGACCGGUGCCAGCCGCCGCGGUAAUACCGGCAGCCCGAGUGAUGGCCGAUCUUAUUGGGCCUAAAGCGUCCGUAGCUGGCCGCGCAAGUCCAUCGGGAAAUCCACCCGCUCAACGGGUGGCCGUCCGGUGGAAACUGCACGGCUUGGGACCGGAAGGCGCGACGGGUACGU